AUGGCUGAGGGCAUGGCAAUGGCCCGCGCUGGAUCAUUGGUUUCAAAGCUUGAGUCCAAGAUAUGCUAUCAUAGGGAUGCUGCCCUCGAGUACAUGGAAAUCAAGGCUGUUGUUGGUGAAGUCAUGGAAGAAAAGGAGAUGCUCCAGCAGGAUUAUCGUGCACUGAAAGAUGAACUUGAGGAGGCAAAGAAAACGAUUGUGGAAGUAAACAAGGAGCUUGCAGCAGGAAGCGCGGAGACCUCUCUCAGUAAAAAGGAGCUGGAGCUUGUAAAGAAGAAGCUUCAAGACUGGGAAGCUAAGCAAAAUCUACCUGAGCUACUGAAUUGCUCUGCUUCUGAGCAUGUCCAGCCUAGUAAUAGUAAGCAGGGGCAGAAAAGAUCAAUGAGGCACCAGGAAGUGCCUUCUCAAGGUCCUCUGGGAAUUGAUGCUCACAAGCCUGACCUGGCAGAAGAGCGUCCUGGGAGCAUGCUGGUAAACAACCCCAUUGUUGGCCAAACCUCAGUUGUUCCACCAAGCACAGAUGAUGACGUGGUGGCCCUGCGUGAACAUCUGAUCAAGCAAUUCCUUGAAAUUGAUAAAUACGGCGGGCGGAUCAUCGGGAUAAAGGAAAUGGGCAAACUGAAUGUGAAGGCGUUCGAGAUUGCUUGCGCUGAGAAGUUCCGUACAACAAAAGCCGCUGAUGCGUCUAGUAAGCUGUACUCACUGUGGCAGCAGCGGAUCACUGACGUAAGCUGGAAUCCCUUCAACAUGGUCACGGUCGAGGGCAAUCAUCAGGAGGUUCUGAAUGUCAAUGAUGAUAAGCUGCAAGAACUGAAGAAGGAAUGGGGAGAAGGCCCCUACAAAGCUGUCAUCAAUGCGCUGAUGGAGAUGAAAGAGUACAACUGCCUAGGCGACAGGAGCACCGUCUAUGAGCUAUGGAACUACCGGGCGGACCGGAAAGCCACCCUAACGGAGUGUACUGAGUACAUGGCCGAUCGUGUGCAAGAACUCACAGUGGUCAAGCGCAGGAAGACUCGCAGGAAUUAG
This 1026-nucleotide ribosomal RNA is filed under the name Triticum aestivum (bread wheat). Its description in RNAcentral is "partial small subunit ribosomal RNA". Lineage: Eukaryota; Viridiplantae; Streptophyta; Magnoliopsida; Poales; Poaceae. The record is from RNAcentral.